AGACUUACCUGGCAGGAGAGGUGCCAUGAUCACAAAGGCAGUUUUCCCAGGGCGAGGCUUCUCCCUUGCACUCCGGAUGCACCAACUCCAGCAAUUUCGCCAGAUGCAGGAAACUGCAUAAUUUGUGGUGGGGGGAAUGACAGUGACGACGACUUGUUCAAGCCUUCCCCU
Molecule: small nuclear RNA, 171 nt
Organism: Arvicola amphibius (Eurasian water vole)
Lineage: Eukaryota; Metazoa; Chordata; Mammalia; Rodentia; Cricetidae
Product: U1 spliceosomal RNA
Exons: 1
Source: RefSeq, a predicted model, not a curated record